GUCUGUGGCCAUACCACCCUGAAAGUAGCCAGUCUCCUAAGAUUGGGGAAGCAAAGCAUGGAUGGGCCUGCUUAGUACUUGCUUGGAAGCAAGGACUUCCCAAGGG
RNAcentral lists this ribosomal RNA (106 nucleotides) under Peromyscus maniculatus bairdii (prairie deer mouse). Lineage: Eukaryota; Metazoa; Chordata; Mammalia; Rodentia; Cricetidae. The record is from RNAcentral.